RNAcentral lists this ribosomal RNA (447 nucleotides) under uncultured bacterium. RNAcentral describes it as "partial 16S ribosomal RNA". It matches the Rfam family "Bacterial small subunit ribosomal RNA", at positions 29 to 523 of the family's 1533-position model. The record is from RNAcentral.
AACGAACGCUGGCGGCAGGCCUAACACAUGCAAGUCGAACGCCCAGUAAUGGGCGUGGCGCACGGGUGCGUAACGCGUGGGAAUAUGCCCUUCACUACGGAACAACGUUUGGAAACGAACGCUAAUACCGUAUAAUGACUCCGGUCCAAAGAUUUAUCGGUGAAGGAUUAGCCCGCGUUAGAUUAGCUAGUUGGUGAGGUAAUGGCUCACCAAGGCAACGAUCUAUAGGGGGUCUGAGAGGAUGAUCCCCCACACUGGAACUGAGACACGGUCCAGACUCCUACGGGAGGCAGCAGUGAGGAAUAUUGGACAAUGGGCGCAAGCCUGAUCCAGCCAUGCCGCGUGAGUGAUGAAGGCCUUCGGGUUGUAAAGCUCUUUUAACGGUGAAGAUAAUGACGGUAGCCAUAGAAAAAGCCCCGGCUAAAUUCGUGCCAGCAGCCGCCGUAA